This 368-nucleotide ribosomal RNA is filed under the name uncultured bacterium. RNAcentral's name for it is "bacterial SSU rRNA". It matches the Rfam family "Bacterial small subunit ribosomal RNA", at positions 127 to 507 of the family's 1533-position model. The record is from RNAcentral.
UGCCUCAAAAGAGGGGGGACAACAGUUGGAAACGACUGCUAAUACCGCAUAAGCCCACGGUGCCGCAUGGCACAGAGGGAAAAGGAGCAAUCCGCUUUGAGAUGGCCUCGCGUCCGAUUAGCUAGUUGGUGAGGUAAUGGCCCACCAAGGCAACGAUCGGUAGCCGGACUGAGAGGUUUGAACGGCCACAUUGGGACUGAGACACGGCCCAGACUCCUACGGGAGGCAGCAGUGGGGAAUAUUGCACAAUGGGGGAAACCCUGAUGCAGCGACGCCGCGUGGAGGAAGAAGGUCUUCGGAUUGUAAACUCCUGUUGUUGGGGAACGAUAAUGACGGUACCCAACAAGGAAGUGACGGCUAACUACGUG